This 992-nucleotide long non-coding RNA is filed under the name Homo sapiens (human). RNAcentral describes it as "HSALNT0347545". The record is from RNAcentral. Lineage: Eukaryota; Metazoa; Chordata; Mammalia; Primates; Hominidae.
AUGUAACAAACCUGCACACGUACCCCUUAAAUCUAAAACAAAACAAAAACUUGUUCUGUGCUUUUAAUCGCUAUCAUAAAUUCAUCUUCUGCAUGAAGCCCUUCGCCAGCUAUCCUAGUUAGAAUGACAUCAUUGAACAAGUAUCUUUUGGCAUUUACUUUGUACUAGGUACUAUUUUGGGAAACUGUGAUACAAAAAUGAGUAAGACUUAUCCCAGCCAGGGAGGGGCUCAGUCUACUCAUUUGCUCCCUGUUCUGAGUCUUGAUACACUGAGGUUGGUUACCCUGGAGAAACUUGCUUGCUUGUGCCCGUGGCAUGGUGAUUUUCCUUUGGAUGUGUCCACCAUGAGAUAAGGCAAGGAGCAUGUCAACCUCAUGUCUUUGUUCUUUGUGUCCAGUGUGAUGCUUUGAUACUGAAGCCUCCUGAUGGCUGUCCUUGUCAACUGUGAACCCAUCAAAGGACAUCUAAAAUUCAACAUGGGACAGUGUAACAGAUUAAUUCAACACCCUCUCCACAAUCCCCUCAAAGAUGAAUGCAUAUUUUCUUCCUGUAGCAGCCCUCCAUCCUGAUUUAUUUCCAAGCUGGAGUGUGACCGGUAGUUGGACCAGGAGUUUCACAGCAUUGGCUUCCUUGGUUCUCAGACCUUCUGACUUGCACUGAGCCACACUACUGGCUUCCCUGGUUCUCCAGCUUGCAGACACCCUACCUGGGACUUCUCAGCCUCCACAGUGCAGUGAACCAAAUCCCCUACUGAAAACCCUUCAUUGGCUUCCUAAGUCCUCCAGGAGAGAGUCACAAAUCCUUCACCCAGCAGCCAGAGCCUUCCACUCUCCAAUCCUGUCCAGUCGCUACCCUUUCCUCUCAGCGCUGCUUCGCUCUCACUUGACCACCCAGCAAGAGCACAGGAUUUCCUGUGUCCUCCAGCCAUGUAAUUACUUCUCCACUUUCAUUGCCUGGUGAGGGCUGGUUAUGCUUUAAAAAUAUGUGCUACC